UGACUGGUGCAGACGGUCGCGUGCCUUCGGGCAUGAGGAAAGUCCGGGCUGCACAGGGCAAGGAUAACGGAUAACGUCCGCCGAGGGUGACCUUAGGAAUAGUGCAACAGAGAUAUACCGCCGUUUUACGCCUCGCGUAAAGCGGUAAGGGUGGAAAGGCGAGGUAAGAGCUCACCGCGUCCCGUGGUAACACGGGAGGCCUGUAAACUCUAUCCGCAGCAACGCCGACUGGGACUACGAUUUGCCCGAUCGUCCCGACUGGCGGCUUGAGAUGCACGGCAACGUGCAUUCGAGAUAGAUGACCGUCCACGACAGAACCCGGCUUACGCACCAGUCAUGCC
Molecule: RNase P RNA, 341 nt
Filed under: Agathobaculum butyriciproducens
Lineage: Bacteria; Bacillati; Bacillota; Clostridia; Eubacteriales; Butyricicoccaceae
Also listed under: 1 other name
Description: RNase P RNA component class A
Rfam family: Bacterial RNase P class A
About the family: Ribonuclease P (RNase P) is a ubiquitous endoribonuclease, found in archaea, bacteria and eukarya as well as chloroplasts and mitochondria. Its best characterised activity is the generation of mature 5'-ends of tRNAs by cleaving the 5'-leader elements of precursor-tRNAs. Cellular RNase Ps are ribonucleoproteins.
Source: RNAcentral